Molecule: long non-coding RNA, 365 nt
Filed under: Hordeum vulgare
Lineage: Eukaryota; Viridiplantae; Streptophyta; Magnoliopsida; Poales; Poaceae
Description: long non-coding RNA (HVUL_LNC001092)
Source: RNAcentral
GUUGAUGGGGGAAAGAUAAUAUUCGGGUGCUUAUCUCAGGUACUUAUUGUAUGGCGAGUUUUGGAUUGAGAUGGAAGUUCCUCGAGUCGUGUGGGUAAAGUGUGCAACCUGUGCAGAGUGUCAACUAUUCGAAUAGCCGUGUCCAUGGUCAAGGACAGAUGGAUAACCGCUCUUGGGCUACGUCCAUUGUUUUACAAACUUGGGCAUGAGAAGGAAAUCCUUGAACUAUGACAGAUGACCUGUCGAGAUGAUUAAAUGAGAGUUGGUUGAACUCUGUUAUAUUGAUAUCUGUAACCUCAUGAUGCAUGAUUUUCAAAAUGAUGCAUGAUUUUCAAAAUGAUAGGAGACGAUAUUGCUCUUAAAAC